Molecule: ribosomal RNA, 413 nt
Filed under: Rhodococcus sp. NN2
Lineage: Bacteria; Bacillati; Actinomycetota; Actinomycetes; Mycobacteriales; Nocardiaceae
Also listed under: 1 other name
Description: bacterial SSU rRNA
Rfam family: Bacterial small subunit ribosomal RNA
Source: RNAcentral
GUAACACGUGGGUGAUCUGCCCUGCACUUCGGGAUAAGCCUGGGAAACUGGGUCUAAUACCGGAUAUGACCUCCUAUCGCAUGGUGGGUGGUGGAAAGAUUUAUCGGUGCAGGAUGGGCCCGCGGCCUAUCAGCUUGUUGGUGGGGUAAUGGCCUACCAAGGCGACGACGGGUAGCCGACCUGAGAGGGUGACCGGCCACACUGGGACUGAGACACGGCCCAGACUCCUACGGGAGGCAGCAGUGGGGAAUAUUGCACAAUGGGCGAAAGCCUGAUGCAGCGACGCCGCGUGAGGGAUGACGGCCUUCGGGUUGUAAACCUCUUUCAGCAGGGACGAAGCGCAAGUGACGGUACCUGCAGAAGAAGCACCGGCUAACUACGUGCCAGCAGCCGCGGUAAUACGUAGGGUGCAA